UACGUAGGUGACAAGCGUUAUCCGGAUUUAUUGGGCGUAAAGCGCACGCAGGCGGCUCUUCAAGUCUGACGUGAAAUCUCUCGGCUUAACCGGGAGCGGUCGUUGGAAACUGAAGGGCUUGAGGCGAUGAGAGGGGUGUGGAAUUCCCGGUGUAGUGGUGGAAUGCGUAGAUAUCGGGAGGAACAUCAGUGGCGAAAGCGGCACCCUGGCAUUAGCCUGACGCUCAUGUGCGAAAGCGUGGGGAGCGAACGAG
Molecule: ribosomal RNA, 253 nt
Filed under: uncultured bacterium
Lineage: Bacteria
Description: partial 16S ribosomal RNA
Rfam family: Bacterial small subunit ribosomal RNA
Source: RNAcentral